Molecule: long non-coding RNA, 1037 nt
Filed under: Olea europaea subsp. europaea
Lineage: Eukaryota; Viridiplantae; Streptophyta; Magnoliopsida; Lamiales; Oleaceae
Source: RNAcentral
GUUCCAGCCAAGCAAAUAUAGAAGUAGAGGUAUUCUAGACUAUGUACACACGGAUGUAUGGGGUCCGGCUUCUGUCACUUCCAAAGGCGGUUCCAGGUAUUUUGUUACAUUUGUUGAUGAUUAUUCUAGAUAUGCUUGGAUUUAUUUUUUGAAGCAUAAGAAUGAGGUAUUCGACACUUUCAAGAAGUGGAAAGCAAUGGUUGAAAACAGAACAGGAAAGAAAUUGAAGAUACUGCGAUCUGAUAACGGUACUGAGUAUACAGAUGGUGCUUUCAAAGAGUUCUGUGGUAAGGAAGGCAUUGCGAGACACUGGGCAGUUAGAAAUACACUGCAACAGAAUGGGGUCGCGGAAAGACUGAAUUGCACAUUUCGAGAGAAAUUGAUGUGUAUGCGAUCCUAUGCUGGUUUGGGCAGAGAAUGGUGGGCAGAGUCGGUUGCAAAUGCCUGCUACAUAGUGAACCAGUCUCCACAUUCGAGGUUAGAUGGAGAUGUACCUUACAGGGUAUUGACAGGAGAACAUACAGAUUAUGAAAAACUCAGAAUAUUCGGAUGCAUAGCCUACUAUCAUGUCAACGAGGGAAAACUUGAUGUGAGGGCCAAGAAGGCUAUAUUCUUGGGGUAUGCGGCAGGUGUAAAAGGCUAUUGCCUAUGGUGUGUAGAGGAUUCUAAGUUCAUAAUCAACAGAGAUGUUACUUUUGAUGAGAACUCCAUGAUAGCUUCGUUGAAAGCUACAGUGCCUGGUGGUGAUGAUGUUGAGACUACAAAGUCUCAAGUUGUUGACAUAGAACAUAGAGAUCAACCUGGUUCUAGGCAUGUUCAAGAGGAGCAUCAUGUAGACACUCAAGAUGAGAGUGAUGAUGAGUUUGAACAAGAGGCGGUUCAGCAAAAGAAUGUACAGGCACAGCAAUAACAGUAGCUUGCAGAUAACUUGGCUUCCUCUAGGCCACGCCGUACUUACAAGCAAGUUCUAAAGUUGGGGUCAGACGAGCCUUUGAGGCACUAUGGGCAGACAAAUUUGGUUGAGUAUGCACUCUCGG